Molecule: ribosomal RNA, 434 nt
Filed under: uncultured bacterium
Lineage: Bacteria
Description: bacterial SSU rRNA
Rfam family: Bacterial small subunit ribosomal RNA
Source: RNAcentral
UACGGGAGGCAGCAGUGGGGAAUAUUGCACAAUGGGCGCAAGCCUGAUGCAGCCAUGCCGCGUGUAUGAAGAAGGCCUUCGGGUUGUAAAGUACUUUCAGUCGUGAGGAAGGUGUUAAGGUUAAUAACCUUAGCAAUUGACGUUAGCGACAGAAGAAGCACCGGCUAACUCCGUGCCAGCAGCCGCGGUAAUACGGAGGGUGCGAGCGUUAAUCGGAAUUACUGGGCGUAAAGGGCACGCAGGCGGUUAAUUAAGUUGGAUGUGAAAUCCCCGGGCUUAACCUGGGAAUGGCAUUCAAGACUGGUUAGCUAGAGUCUUGUAGAGGGGGUAGAAUUCCGAUGUGUAGCGGUGAAAUGCGUAGAGAUGUGGAGGAAUACCGGUGGCGAAGGCGGCCCCUGGACAAAGGCUGACGCUCAUGUGCGAAAGCGUGGGGA